UAAAACCUUCAGGGCGGAGUGCAAUUCUCCACCGGCGGUAGUCAGCGCAAGCUGAGAGCCCGCGAGCCAUUGCUGAUUCACAUCAGCAAAAGCAGAUCUGGUCAAAUUCCAGAGCCGACGGUAUAGUCCGGAUGAAAGAAGGUGUUG
RNAcentral lists this non-coding RNA (147 nucleotides) under Gammaproteobacteria bacterium. RNAcentral's name for it is "FMN sequence". It matches the Rfam family "FMN riboswitch aptamer (RFN element)". Rfam says of the family: The RFN element is a highly conserved domain that is found frequently in the 5'-untranslated regions of prokaryotic mRNAs that encode for flavin mononucleotide (FMN) biosynthesis and transport proteins. This element is a metabolite-dependent riboswitch that directly binds FMN in the absence of proteins. In Bacillus subtilis, the riboswitch most likely controls gene expression by causing premature transcription termination within the 5' untranslated region of the ribDEAHT operon and precluding access to the ribosome-binding site of ypaA mRNA. Lineage: Bacteria; Pseudomonadati; Pseudomonadota; Gammaproteobacteria. The record is from RNAcentral.